Molecule: ribosomal RNA, 858 nt
Filed under: uncultured bacterium
Lineage: Bacteria
Description: bacterial SSU rRNA
Rfam family: Bacterial small subunit ribosomal RNA
Source: RNAcentral
UACGGAGGGUGCAAGCGUUACUCGGAAUCACUGGGCGUAAAGCGCGCGCAGGCGGGCUGAUAAGCUGGAUGUGAAAUCCUACGGCUCAACCGUAGAACUGCAUCCAGAACUGUCAGUCUAGAGUCUGGGAGGGGAAGAUGGAAUUAGUAGUGUAGGGGUAAAAUCCGUAGAGAUUACUAGGAAUACCAAAAGCGAAGGCGAUCUUCUGGAACAGUACUGACGCUGAGGCGCGAAAGCGUGGGGAGCAAACAGGAUUAGAUACCCUGGUAGUCCACGCCCUAAACGAUGAAUGUUAGUCGUUGGUGUCCUAGUGACAUCAGUGAUGCAGCUAACGCAUUAAACAUUCCGCCUGGGGAGUACGGUCGCAAGAUUAAAACUCAAAGGAAUAGACGGGGACCCGCACAAGUGGUGGAGCAUGUGGUUUAAUUCGAAGAUACGCGAAGAACCUUACCUGGCCUUGACAUUGAUGGAACCUGCCAGAGAUGGCGGGGUGCCCUUUUAGGGAGCCUGAAAACAGGUGCUGCACGGCUGUCGUCAGCUCGUGUCGUGAGAUGUUGGGUUAAGUCCCGCAACGAGCGCAACCCUCGUCACUAGUUACUAACGGUUCGGCCGAGGACUCUAGUGAGACUGCCUUCGCAAGGAGGAGGAAGGUGAGGACGACGUCAAGUCAUCAUGGCCCUUACGGCCAGGGCAACACACGUGCUACAAUGGGGUGUACAAUGAGACGCGAUACCGCGAGGUGGAGCAAAUCUAUAAAGCAUCUCUCAGUUCGGAUUGUAGUCUGCAACUCGACUACAUGAAGCUGGAAUCACUAGUAAUCGUAGAUCAGCUAUGCUACGGUGAAUACGUUCCCGGGUC